RNAcentral lists this ribosomal RNA (100 nucleotides) under Peritassa pruinosa. RNAcentral's name for it is "partial 5.8S ribosomal RNA". It matches the Rfam family "5.8S ribosomal RNA", at positions 62 to 154 of the family's 154-position model. From Rfam's summary of the family: 5.8S ribosomal RNA (5.8S rRNA) is a component of the large subunit of the eukaryotic ribosome. It is transcribed by RNA polymerase I as part of the 45S precursor that also contains 18S and 28S rRNA. The record is from RNAcentral. Lineage: Eukaryota; Viridiplantae; Streptophyta; Magnoliopsida; Celastrales; Celastraceae.
UUGGUGUGAAUUGCAGAAUCCCGUGAACCAUCGAGUUUUUGAACGCAAGUUGCGCCCGAAGCCCCAUCAGGCCGAGGGCACGCCUGCCUGGGUGUCACAA